Molecule: long non-coding RNA, 3274 nt
Filed under: Equus caballus (horse)
Lineage: Eukaryota; Metazoa; Chordata; Mammalia; Perissodactyla; Equidae
Description: lncRNA (ENSECAG00000044477.1)
Source: RNAcentral
GUCAGGUGAGGUUACUGCUCCCACCUUCCACCUGAGGAAGAUGCUGAUUUUUCAAUCAGGUCUGUUCAAUCAUGUGAUUUUACACAGCGCUUUUCUUCAUCUGUUUGUCAAUGGAGAAAUGAUAAACUGAGAGCCGAAGCUGAAAUUGUGCACGUUAGUCAUUUCUAUUCAUUCAUUCAACAGUAAUUUGUUCUAGAGAUAUAAAAAUGACUCAGACAUAAUUCUGUUAUCCUCACAGAAGUUAUGGUUUACCAGCAGGAGAUGAACAGAAAAUUGCAGUAAAGCAUUGAAGGCACUGCGGAUGAUGCUGCCAGGGGAGAGGAAGUCCAUCUGUGUCUGCUGUGCUGCACUGCUUGAUAAUAUGGCUUAGAUAAUAGAAAUCCAUUACAUCGCUCAAAGGAAGUAAAAAAACUGCUCUCCAAGGAGUAGAGGGAAGCCAAGUAGGAAUUCAAUCUCUGAGCAAGAAUCAGCAUGUGUUUUUUUCCCCGAGAAAGAAGGAAGAAGAUAAAUAAAAGCUUGUGGUAUCCAGGAAUCAUAAGCAGAUGGAUGUCGAGGAGGAUACUAAGACUAGAGACCACAUUCUCAACCCUCUCCCUUCCUAAGCUGAGCUUCGGCUCCUUGGAUGUUGUCUGACUUGUGCCUGGGGAAUCUUGUGGUCAAGAGAGAAGGCUCCUUUGGAGGUUAAGCAAAGGAAGAUUGCUGCUUUCCCAGAGCGUUUCAGUAAAGGAUGGGCAAUGGAACUCCAGUAGAGAGAGUUCCAUGGAGUAGAACCCUGGAACCCUGAGGACUGACAGUUGCAGGUCCCUCCCUCUGGUUGUGCUAUGUGGGACGCCGCCUCAGCAUGGCCUGACAAGUGGUACCAUGUCUGCACCCAUGAUCCAAACCAGUGAAACCCUGGGCAGCCAAAGUGGAGUGCAUGAACUUAACCACUCAGCCACAGGGCCAGCCCCUUCCAGUGUAUUUUUCAUUUCAUAUAUUUUUUCCCAUAUCUAGAAAUGACCUUUGGGUCUAUUUUAUAGCUUUCAUUUCUCUUCUUAUUAUGCUUAUGUUUUCCUUUACCUUUUUGAAAACAUGGAUCAUAUUUAUAAUAGCUCUUUUAAUGUCCUUCUCUGCUAGUUCCACAAUUACCAUAAUUUCGGGACAUAUUUCUAUUGAUUGAUCCCCACCAUUUAUUGGCCAUAUUAUCCUAACUUGUAAUCAUUUUUUUUAAUUGAAUGCUGGUCAUUGUGAGUUUUAAAGUAUUGAUUGCUGUAUUUUAUUGUAUUCCUUUAGAGAUGGUGUUGGUUUUUUUCCUGGCUUAAGUUUAAGUUAAUAGAAUCAGUUAGAUCCUCUCAAGGUGUUUAAGUUUGGUUAAGAUAAGUCCAGGGAAGGCUUUAGUCCAGGGCCAAUUGAGCCUCAUUGCUAAAGCCGUAUCAUUUAGGAUUAUACCCAAUGUUUGGUCCUGUGUGGGCUCUAAGAAAUGUUCUGCCUACUCCUUUUCAGUGAUUCUUUCUCUGGCUUCAGAUAGUUUCUUCCUAUGCAUACACAGAUCAGACAAAGACUUGGGGAGACCUCUCUGCAGAUCUCCGGGUAUCUUUCUCUGUAGUUCCCGCCUCUCUCUUUCAUUGCCCACAAAUUCUAGCUGUUCUGAGUUCUCUGAACUCUGAUCUCUGUCUCCUCAACUCAGCAAGGUUUCUGGGCUCUGUAUGAGUUCCUUCUUUUUGUUCUGUGUCCUGUAAACUGACUCUAGGCAGUAAAUUGAUGCAGUUGUAGGGCUAACCUUGUUUGUUUCCCUUUUCUCAGGGAUCAUUGUCCUGUGCUGCCUGUUUCACAUGUCUGAAAACUGUUUCUCAUAUAUUCUGUCCAUUUCCUUGUUGUCCUAGAUGGGAACAUAUAUUGGCCCUGACCUUUCACCUUGGCCAGAGCAAAAGAUCUUUAUUCAUUCUUAAAGUUACUGUGGACAAUAAAGAUUCUGAUAUGUUUACUUUACUGACUCAGUUUUAGCCCCAAGUUUUCUUUCUUUUUUGGGGGGGGGGGGGAAGAUUAGCCCUGAGCUAACAUCUGCCACCAAUCCUCCUCUUUCUGCUGAAGAAGAGUGGCCCUGAACUAACAUCUGUGCUCAUCUUCCUCUAUUUUAUAUGUGGGAUGCCUGCCACAGCAUGGCUUGGUAAGUGGUGCAUAGGUCCACAGCCAGGAUCUGACCUGGUGAACCCUGUGCCACCGAAACGUUGUGCGCAAACUUAACUGCUAUGCCACUAGGCCAGCCCCCCCAACUUUUAUUUCAAGCCACACCUACCAACUACCCAGUCAGAAAUUGCUGCUGCUCUUUAUGUAAAUUUCCAGAAAUUCCUUGAUGCUUUGUUACAACUGAAGGAUACAGGAGUUGUCUCCAAGCAAAUUAAGUAUUACCCUGAACCAGAAACAAUCAAAGCUGCCUAUAAAGACUGUUGUGUGACAAUUACAAUGUUCCACUUGUUUUUUUCUGUUAGCCCAAAGAAGAGGCUGUGGAUACCAGUAGAUUUCCCUUUCAGAAAUCUACUAACUGCCAGCCUUAUCUAGGAGCCUCUCAAGAAACGUGCACAGUUACAGACUGGGUUGUACAUGCUGGCCAGCGGGUCUCAGGGCUUCUUUCCAGAGAACAGCCAAAAUGACUACCCCAGGGGGCCUGCCCCACAAGACUGCUAGAGGAGGAAACAAAUCAUUUUCAGAAUUUCUAUCAACAAUCUUUUCCUUGUAACAUUUUUGGUUCAGCCUCAGUAUUGUAUUCAUGUCAUUUUGUUUUGCUUUCUAUUUUUAUUUCUUAUUUCCGGAGCACUUUGCACUGUUGUGGUGACUCAAAUCAAAAAGGAAAAGAAAAAAGGUGUUUUUUUCCUCCUCUCUAUCAUUUUUAUAUCUUAAUCACUUGAUUAAAACUCACCAGCUGAAGAGGAAGUUGCAAUGAACUUUAUUUUUUCUCCAUUAGUUGUAAGCUUCCCUGCCUGAUAUCCAGAUAUAUUUAUUAUUUUGUACAGUGAGGUAUUUCAUUGCAAACCAGAAAUAAAUAUAAAUCCUGUUAGAUGAAAAUCUUUUCUGAAUCAUCACAACUCAGCUGUUUAAAGGGAAUUUCUUGAUUUUUCUACAAUGAUACAAUUCUGUUAAAAAUAAUUCUUGCCGUGUAUUAUGUUUUUGAAAUAUUUUAAUGGUUUUAAUUAACAACUUGGUUGAUUUUAUGUAAAUAAUAUUAAUUAAAAUUUUAUUUAUCUGUAAAAUAUUUUUUUUGGAAAUGAUACAGAAAGUUGAAAACUUUAAGUGUAAC